This 252-nucleotide ribosomal RNA is filed under the name uncultured bacterium. RNAcentral describes it as "partial 16S ribosomal RNA". It matches the Rfam family "Bacterial small subunit ribosomal RNA", at positions 524 to 776 of the family's 1533-position model. The record is from RNAcentral.
UACGUAGGGCGCAAGCGUUGUCCGGAAUUAUUGGCGUAAAGAGCUCGUAGGCGGUCUGUCGCGUCGGCUGUGAAAACCCGGAGCUCAACUCCGGGCCUGCAGUCGAUACGGGCAGACUGGAGUUCGGCAGGGGAGACUGGAAUUCCUGGUGUAGCGGUGAAAUGCGCAGAUAUCAGGAGGAACACCGGUGGCGAAGGCGGGUCUCUGGGCCGAUACUGACGCUGAGGAGCGAAAGCGUGGGGAGCGAACAGG